GACGUAGGGGGCCAGCGUUGCUCGGAAUCAUUGGGCGUAAAGGGCGCGUAGGCGGUUUGGUAAGUCGGAUGUGAAAGCCCAGGGCUCAACCUUGGAAGUGCAUCCGGUACUGCUAAACUAGAAUCUCGGAGAGGGUGGUGGAAUUCCCAGUGUAGAGGUGAAAUUCGUAGAUAUUGGGAGGAACACCGGUGGCGAAGGCGACCGCCUGGACGAAGAUUGACGCUGAGGCGCGAGAGCGUGGGGAGCAAACAGG
RNAcentral lists this ribosomal RNA (253 nucleotides) under uncultured bacterium. Its description in RNAcentral is "partial 16S ribosomal RNA". It matches the Rfam family "Bacterial small subunit ribosomal RNA", at positions 524 to 776 of the family's 1533-position model. The record is from RNAcentral.